CACGUAGGCGGGAACUUAAGUCAGGUGUGAAAGACCGGGGGCUCAACUCCGGGGUUGCACUUGAAACUGGGUUUCUUGAGGGCAGGAGAGGAAAGCAGAAUUCCUGGUGUAGCGGUGAAAUGCGUAGAAAUCAGGAGGAAUACCAGUGGCGAAGGCGGCUUUCUGGACUGACCCUGACGCUGAGGUGCGAAAGCGUGGGUAGCAAACA
RNAcentral lists this ribosomal RNA (208 nucleotides) under uncultured Syntrophomonadaceae bacterium. RNAcentral describes it as "partial 16S ribosomal RNA". It matches the Rfam family "Bacterial small subunit ribosomal RNA", at positions 568 to 774 of the family's 1533-position model. The record is from RNAcentral. Lineage: Bacteria; Bacillati; Bacillota; Clostridia; Eubacteriales; Syntrophomonadaceae.